ACCUGAACACUUUGGGCUCCUCAUGCCUCUGAAUCAACGGGCAAAGAAGAGAGUUAUAGAUCCUAACCACCCAGGAGAAAUUCGGUGGCCACUACACAAACAGAAUGUAUUAAUAGUAAUUAAAUUUAUAUCAUAGUCUUGAAAUUACAAGAUAUCCAACUUGAAGCAUGCAUUGGGAGAAGAAUAAAUAUCAUCCAAAGACAAAAAAACAACAACACGACGUUGUGUUCUACUAAAAGGAAAAAAGCCUAUUUUCAGAUGUACUUAGAAGAGAUACACCAUGUUAGCUUUUCUGACUCUGCGGCCAGGUGUUUGUAUUUAACUCCACGGUGAGGAGACUCAUCUUCUGACGGACCUAACCUAUACCAUCAAGCUCCAGCACCACAAGCAAAGACAAAAACCUUGCGGAAACUAUUUAACUAACUCCCACAAUUGCAUAAGGAUCUAAAUGAAAAUAUUUCUGCAGUGAACCAGUUCUAUUGUUUUAAAUAUCACCCUUAUUAAAGAGAGCUUUGACACUUUUCUA
Molecule: long non-coding RNA, 526 nt
Filed under: Homo sapiens (human)
Lineage: Eukaryota; Metazoa; Chordata; Mammalia; Primates; Hominidae
Description: long intergenic non-protein coding RNA 1938
Source: RNAcentral